Molecule: ribosomal RNA, 433 nt
Filed under: uncultured bacterium
Lineage: Bacteria
Description: partial 16S ribosomal RNA
Rfam family: Bacterial small subunit ribosomal RNA
Source: RNAcentral
AGCGAACGCUGGCGGCAGGCCUAACACAUGCAAGUCGAACGAACUCUUCGGAGUUAGUGGCGGACGGGUGAGUAACACGUGGGAACGUGCCUUUAGGUUCGGAAUCACUCAGGGAAACUUGUGCUAAUACCGAAUGUGCCCUUCGGGGGAAAGAUUUAUCGCCUUUAGAGCGGCCCGCGUCUGAUUAGCUAGUGGGUGAGGUAAAGGCACACAACGGCGACGAUCAGUAGCUGGUCUGAGAGGAUGAUCAGCCACAUUGGGACUGAGACACGGCCCAAACUCCUACGGGAGGCAGCAGUGGGGAAUCUUGCGCAAUGGGCGAAAGCCUGACGCAGCCAUGCCGCGUGAAUGAUGAAGGUCUGAGGAUUGUAAAAUUCUUUCACCGGAGACGAUAAUGACGGUACCCGGAGAAGAAGCCCCGGCUAACUUCGUG